Molecule: long non-coding RNA, 3897 nt
Organism: Amphiprion ocellaris (clown anemonefish)
Lineage: Eukaryota; Metazoa; Chordata; Actinopteri; Pomacentridae
Exons: 2
Source: RefSeq, a predicted model, not a curated record
GAAUGUUUAAUUAUCGAAAAUAUUUUGUCUUUAAUUUUGAAUAUUUGUAUUUGAAAAAUUCUGUUUAAUUUCAUAGUUACAUGUAUUGUAUCUUGUUUAAUUAUCUAAUUCAAUAUUUUGUCUGUUUAAUAGAAUUUAAUUGUAUUUAAUGUUUAACUAUAUUAAACAAACAAAAUAUUGAAAAAAAAUUGGGGAAAAAAAUUCAAACAAGCCGAUAAAACAUUUGAAAAAACAAUUAAACAUUAGAAAGACAAAACAUUUCGAAAUCAAAUCAGACAUUAGAAAAGAAUAAAAGGUGAGAAAAAAGCAAAACUAAACAUUUAAGAAGAAUCAAACUAAAGACAAAACAUCUGAAAAGACACCAGUUAGACUUUAGAAGAUCAAAUUAAACAGAAGAGACAAUAAAACGAUCAAAAAGAGUAAAAACACAUAAAGGCCUUGAAGUGUUUUCUCGUCUGAAAUGAAAACAUCAAGUUGUUUCUUCAAACAUUUCCUCUUUCUAUGUUCUUGGUUUGAUUGUGGACAGAUUUACUAAGAACUCAUUUCAGAAAACUGCUUUCCAGAUAAAGUCUACUAGUAGUUGAAGGCAUUUAUCAAACUAAUGUUACCUUCUGAUCUCCACAAACUUUACUGUUCAGUGAAGAGAAUCAAAGUUUGUUGAGGAUUUCUAAAAACCCACAGGUGAAGGUCUGAGAAGAACUCAGAUGGAUGGUCUAAAUGUGAAAUCAAGACUCAUCGUCACAAGUUUUAAGGCUUCUGUUAACCAGAAAGUUCAAACUAACAGAGAAGUACUGAGAAACUUUUAAAAUUUCAGUCCUCAGACUGUCUGAAGGUUCAAACUAACAGAGAACUACUCAAGAACUUUUCGGAUUUCAGUCCUCAGACUGUCUGAAGGUUCAAACUAACAGAGAACUACUGAGGAACUUGGAAGAUAUCAGCCCUGAGACUGUGUGAAAGCUCAGGUCCUGAGGACUCGGGAGGUGUGGAGGCUUGGAAAGUCUUAGAACUGAGGGUUCAACCCUCCAGCACAAAGGCUGAAGUCCAGCCUCCUGAGAAAAACGGUCGAGUCGAGACUCAAGUUAAAAAAAAACUCGAAAACGACAAAAAAUAGAUGAUAAAUGCGCAAAAAAAAGAAGAAUUAGUAUCUGAGCAAGUAGCUCAGGGGAUAAGAAGACAGACUCCCAAGCGGAGGGUCGCAGGUUCAAGACCCGCCACCGGCAGUUUUCUUUGUUUGUCUUUGUCAGGAUUUUGAUAAAACUUAAGAAGGGUCUGGUCUUGAACCAGCGACCUGCAGCUCCAUAGGCAAAUCCUUAACUCACUGAGCUACAGAUCAGAUAAAAAGAGAUAAUUUCGUCGUCCCUUUGACAUCGUAGUUCCUCAAGUGACCACAUGGGUGGGGCCAAGGCGGAGUCUGGGUGGAGUCAGGGCGGAGAGUAGGCGGGGAGGUGGGUGGCGGCCUCCCCCCUCUACUCCCCCACCUCCCCCCACCACCCACCACACCUUCCCCCGCCCGACGAGUUCUUCGAGUCUCCACGAGUUCUUCGAGUCUCCACGAGUUUUCCCGAGUUUCUGGAGUUUCCACCAGGUCAGAGGCAGAACAACUUGUCAUGAAGAGGUGUUGAAGUCGGCCAGGAUGGAGUGACUUUUUACAGCGACUAGAAGGAAGACCACUAGAAGAGCAGGUCUUUAACCACCAUCCAUAAAAUCCAUGGAGUCACUCCAGAGAAAUGAAGGGAGGUCAACUUUUAUCAACCUCCAUCCAGAUUUCAACUUGAUAUCUUUACUUAUACCUUUAGUAUCACACUUUAUUAUCGUUUAUUAGGACUUUAAUGGAAUCCACCAGCAGAUUUACUUUUUGUUGACAAACUUUAUUCUUGCCAUCGUGGGACUGCAGUAUUUAAAACUGUUCCUUCUAUUUGACCUCAUGUUUAUUAGCUUUAGUGGAGAAAGUUAUUUUAGUUGUCGAUUAGUCUCUUAAGGACCAAAUAAUAAAUUGGAUUAGUCAAAAGGUUUAAAUUUCUUACUUUGUCAUAUUUUAAAUAUGACAAAAAAUUGAAAAAUAAAGUGUCUUGAGACAAUUUGACCUGUAAUUGUGGUUAUAUAAAUAAAAUUGAAUUCAAAUUGUAUGUAUGUUGUAAUGUUGGAGUAAUUCAGCCAUAUAUGUUGGAUAACACAUUUUCUUUGACCAUUAAUCUGUUGAUUGUUUUCUCCAGUAAUUCAUUUCUUGUUUUGGUUUAUAAAAUGUCAAACCCAAAUAUAUUCAGUUUACUGUCAUAAAAAUCAAAAAGAUUUACAUUCAUGAUGGGGGAAUCAGGCAGUCUUUCACUUUUUAUCUUAGUUUAGUCAGAAAGAUAGUUGAUAAUGUGUCAAUUGUUGCAGCUUGUGAGCCAUAGAAGGUUUUAAUCUUUGGGGCCGAGUGUCAAAAUACAUUUAGAAACCAACAUCAACAAAACACUCAACAAAGAUUUGAACAUCAUUGAAGGGAAAUCCAAAUUUUGCAUGACAAUGUCUAAUUAAAGGACAUUUAUUUCCAACGUAAAUGUGUGAUAUUCAUCCUCUGGAGCUUUCUCUUCACAUCGUCUUCCACUUGGACUGGUUUGGUCGGGAGCAUGUGCAACAAACAUUUGAAAAACUGCACUUUAACAUCAAUGAAUGACACUGAAGUUUAAUGUCUACAUAAAUGAGACUGAGUCUGAAUGUGCUGCUCUGUCAUUAACUCCUAAGUUUAGGGAAAGUUAAAACAAAAGAGGACAGUUCAGAUCAGACUUUAGAAUGAGCUUAUUUUCAAUAAACAUCUCAGACUUUCUGAGCUUCACCAACUAUAGCAAGAUAUUUUAACAACAAGCAACUCAAGAGAUCCAGAAGUUGGAGAGAGUUGGCUUUAGCUGAGCCAAAGUACAUGUGGGACGCUAACCUAGCAAACAUUUCAGACUUUUCUCUGUGAAUUCUGAGGAAUAAUUUCCUAUUUAAUGACAGAGCUACACAUCUUAACUCAGUCUCAUGAAAACAGACUCUAAGUGCAGUUACCCAAAAUGUUUGUUGCAUGAGCUCCAACAAAACCUGUCCAGGUAGAAGGCCACUUUGACAAACAGGAAGUGGAAGAUUCCAAGCAGACUGAUAGAAGGGGGAACCGGACUGUACUAAGUUUGGUCGAGUAUAGAGGGGUGUUUUGUGGGUUUUUAAGGCUGAUAAUGAUUAUUAGUGAGACAUUUGGAGUAGAUAUUCAUUUGCAGUAAAUGAAAGUACUUAAAAUCUUGGAGUUAAACUUAGAAGAACACAAACUCUAACAGAAAACUUUGUUGAUACGUUUUUGUUUUGUUUACAGAUGUUAAAGGAGUUUUAUUCGUGACGUAUAACCAAUCAAAUCACUCCAGAAGACAGAGCGACCACAGGCCUCCGUUGACUCGUUCCACCUGCCGUCUCUGGAGCUGAAGCUGGAUUGGAACAGACCAAAGUACAGUCCAAUCACGAUGCCAGCUGCCUCUCAAAAGGCUCCUUCAUCUGGCAGGUGGUGGAACUUCUUCUGAGGGGAAGCUGAGCUGGCCCGGCAGAACUUUGGAGAUGUGUUCCAGUGGUUGGUGGAUGUGUGGGGAGAUAGAGAGGGACCUUUGAACUGUUCACAAAGGAAAACAGGGAACACAUUGGUGGUUUUAGUUUAGGGUGCUACUGCGGUGUGUUUUUGGGUUUUAAGAGGUGAACAGGAAGAGUUUUUUUUCAUAUUGAUUAUCUUUUACUUUGUUCCUGGUUGGAAUGCCCAUCAAUGUCAACAUGAAGUUCACUUUUAGUUCUGUUUAUUUAUUUUUAUUUUACUAACACCCAUUUGUUUUUAACUCCCUCACAUGUUGUGUUGUUGUAAACUUACUCUUUCAAAUAAAUACGUGUCUAACCCUCUGGAAA